This 944-nucleotide long non-coding RNA is filed under the name Salmo salar (Atlantic salmon). Its description in RNAcentral is "lncRNA (ENSSSAG00000111646.1)". The record is from RNAcentral. Lineage: Eukaryota; Metazoa; Chordata; Actinopteri; Salmoniformes; Salmonidae.
GGGAUACUAUAUAAUGUUGUUGGGUCUGUAACCAUGAGGAGGGGAUACUAUAUAAUGUUGUUGGGUCUGUAACCAUGAGGAGGGGUUACUAUAUAAUGUUGUUGGGUCUGUAACCAUGAAGAGGGGAUACUAUAUAAUGUUGUUGGGUCUGUAACCAUAAAGAGGGAUACAAUAUAAUGUUGUUGGGUCUGUAACCAUGAGGAGGGAUACUAUAUAAUGUUGUUGGGUCUGUAACCAUGAAGAGGGGAUACUAUAUAAUGUUGUUGGGUCUGUAACCAUGAGGAGGGAUACUAUAUAAUGUUGUUGGGUCUGGAACCAUGAAGAGGGGAUACUAUAUAAUGUUGUUGGUUCUGUAACCAUGAAGAGGGAUACUAUAUAAUGUUGUUGGGUCUGUAACCAUGAGGAUGGGAUACUAUAUAAUGUUGUUGGGUCUGUAACCAUGAGGAGGGAUACUAUAUAAUGUUGUUGGAUCUGUAACCAUGACGAGGGAUACUAUAUAAUGUUGUUGGGUCUGUAACCAUGAGGAGGGAUACUAUAUAAUGUUGUUGGGUCUGUAACCAUGAGGAGGGAUACUAUAUAAUGUUGUUGGGUCUGUAACCAUGAGGAGGGGAUACUAUAUAAUGUUGUUGGGUCUGUAACCAUGAGGAUGGGAUACUAUAUAAUGUUGUUGGGUCUGUAACCAUGAAGAGGGGAUACUAUAUAAUGUUGUUGGGUCUGUAACCAUGAGGAGGGGAUACUAUAUAAUGUUGUUGGGUCUGUAACCAUGAGGAGGGAUACUAUAUAAUGUUGUUGGGUCUGUAACCAUGAGGAGGGAUACUAUAUAAUGUUGUUGGGUCUGUAACCAUGAGGAUGGGAUACUAUAUAAUGUUGUUGGGUCUGGAACCAUGAUGAGGGGAUACUAUAUACUGUUGUUGGGUCUGUAACCAUGAAGAGGGGAUACUAUA